RNA transcript from Carcharodon carcharias (great white shark), 5543 nucleotides. It is a transcript of the gene named kinase suppressor of ras 1a, with no coding region annotated. The record is from RefSeq and is a predicted model, not a curated record. Lineage: Eukaryota; Metazoa; Chordata; Chondrichthyes; Lamniformes; Lamnidae. The transcript has 22 exons.
AAUAAACGGAGCUGAUCCAUAGAAUUGAGCGGAGACCAGAGCUUCGGAUGUGCUGCUGUCCUACAGGAGAGGGACAUUUACAAACUUAACACCUGCAUUUUUAUUUUUGCACCGGCAAAAGAAAAAAAAGAUAAAUCAUUCGAGAUAUAUAUAUAUAUAUUUUUCUUUGGCAGGUUCAUGUUUUCUGUGUGAGGGAAACUUUUUAUUUUUCAGUUGCGUGGAGGUUGAAUUGAAUUGGGGGAAGGAAAAGAAAACCAGGCCGAAUGUUUAGGAAUGGCUGAAGAGAACAAGGGUCACCCCAGUCACAGUAAUAAGAUAAAGAAGGCUGCAGUUGCUGAAGAAGAAGGGAGCGGGGAAGAAGAAGAAGAGGAAGAAGAAGGGGAGGAAGAAGAGGAAGAGGAGGAGGAGGAGGAGGAGGAGGAAGGGGAGCUGAGUUUGGGGAAGGCCCUGCACCAGUGCGACCUCAACCAGAACAUGAUCGACAUCAGCAUCUCCAGCCUGGAGGGGCUCAGGACCAAAUGCGCCGCUUCCAACGACCUGACACAGCAGGAGAUCCGGAUGCUGGAGGUGAAAAUUGUCAAAUAUAUUAGUAAGCAGUUACAAUGCAAGCAUAAGGUAACACCCAGUGAGCGAACAUCUGAACUGGAGAGCUACCCCCGACUAAGCGAUUGGUUCCGUACCAUUAACUUAAGAAAAGAAGUAAUACAGGGGGUCCCAGGUGAUCUAACACUAGACAUCUUACUGAACAUGUCGGAUACAAAGGUCUGUGAAGCCAUGAAGAGGUAUGGAGCCAACCCUGAAGAAUGCUGUCGGCUGAAUGCUGCCCUCUCCUGCUUAAAGAGCAUAAAUGAUUCAGGUGGCGAGCUGCAAGAUGAUGCUGUUCUUUGGACUUCAUCUGAAACAAGACGAGAAAGCAAUACUGUACCUCCUUCAGAACUGGGGUUUCCUGUUGGUUCCAGACAGCCCCACAGUCCUUCCCCUGUUCCCAGACUAAUUCACCCACAGCCGCGUUCAAUAUCUGUCUCUGUUAUUCCUACAUCGGAUUAUAUAUGCUUGCCAAAUCGGUCAGAUAACUUAGUAGACCCCUUUUCACAGUCCCCUCGACCAGGUCGACGAACAUCAGGGGCUCAGAUGAUCAUAACUACACCACCGGCCACUCCUCCCUCAAAGAAGAAACAUCGAUUUAAACCACCCCGAACUCCGCCGCCACCUUCUAGAAAACUUAUUCAGCUUUUUCCUGGUUUCUCAGGACUCACCAGGAGCAAAUCUCAUGAGUCACAACUGGGCAAUAGAAUAGACGAGGUACCAACAAUUAGGUUCGGUAAGAAAAACAAGUUUUUCCUCAAUCUGAACAUCAAUGGCAGUGGCAACAGCUGUGAUGAUAUUGCUACCCGAUCCCCCUUAUUACCAUGUAGGCCUUUCUUUCCUCAAUCUGUCGGGAGUUCUCACUGUCUUCCCACAACGCCUUGUCCAUCUGAUGACCACAGUUCUCCAAAAAACACUUUACAUGUACCGCGGGGAUCUCCUCAGAUGCUACAAAGGGAUUUUGGGCUUUCCAUUACACAUAGGUUUUCAACAAAAUCUUGGUUAUCACAGACCUGUCAAGUUUGUCAAAAAAAUAUGAUGUUUGGUGUGAAGUGCAAACAUUGUAGAUUAAAGUGCCACAACAAAUGCACAAAAGAAGCUCCUCCAUGCCGGAUAUCAUUUCCUCAAAUAUCAUCAAAAAUUCGAAGAACAGAGUCUGUACCAUCUGAUAUUAACAAUUCUGUGGAUAGAUCUGCGGAACCGCAGUUUGGCACACUUCCAAAGGCACUAAAAAAGGAUCAUGCACCAGUUCCUUUGGAUUCCAGCAGCAACCCUUCUUCAACGACUUCUUCAACUCCUUCUUCUCCGGCACCUUUUCAGUCUUCCAAUCCUCCGAGUGCUACCCCACCUCCAAACCCUUCACCAAAAGGUCCCAGAGACAGGUUCAAAUUUCCAGCUGCGUACUACUUUCAUCAUAGACAACAGUUUAUCUUCCCAGAUGUUCCUAGCCCAACGUUACCUGUCACUUUACAGCCCGACAGCUCUGAAGACACUAAUACUGUAGAGGAAACUGAGCCUGAAGCAGCUGAAGAUCUGGAUGCCGAGAAUGAAGAUCAAGUACUUGACGACGAGGAGGCUAAUAAAUCAGAAUCAGAAUGUGAGACUGAUGAGGUGGAUGACUUGCCAAAUACUAGAUCCCACUGCAGAGGACUGAUGUCUCGCAAGCCCAGCCAGACAAGUGUCUUCCUACAGGAAUGGGACAUCCCAUUUCACGAAUUGGAAGUUGGAGAGCUGAUUGGCAAAGGACGAUGGGGCAAAGUUCAUAAAGGACGCUGGCAUGGAGAAGUGGCAAUUAGGUUGUUAGAGAUUGAUGGGAAUAAUCAGGAUCAUCUGAAAUUGUUCAAAAAAGAAGUGAUGACCUAUCGGCAAACGAGGCAUGAAAAUGUGGUACUUUUCAUGGGAGCUUGCAUGCAUCCUCCACAUUUAGCCAUUAUUACAAGUUUCUGUAAAGGACGAACACUCUUCUCAUUUGUGAGAGAUUCCAAAAUCACGCUGGAUAUUAACAAGAUGAGGCAAAUUGCACAAGAAAUUAUUAAAGGGAUGGGGUAUCUUCAUGCAAGAGGUAUUGUGCACAAGGAUUUGAAAUCAAAGAAUAUCUUCUAUGACAAUGGAAAAGUUGUAAUCACAGACUUUGGAUUAUUUGGUAUAUCUGGUGUGGUGCAAGAGGACAGGAGAGAGAAUGAGCUGAAGCUGCCAAAUGGAUGGUUGUGCUAUGUAGCUCCUGAAAUAGUCCAAGGAAUGUGUCCCGGCAAAGACGAAGACAAGCUCCUAUUUUCAAAGGCAGGAGAUGUAUAUGCAUUUGGCACUAUUUGGUAUGAACUUCAGGCAAGGGAUUGGCCAUUUAAGAACCAACCUGUAGAGGCAAUAAUCUGGCAAGUUGGCAGUGGGAAAGGAGUUGAAAAUCUACUAGCUCAAAUUUCCUUGGGCAAGGAAGUGACGGAAAUUCUGUCUGCAUGUUGGUCUUAUCAUCAAAAUGAAAGGCCAACUUUUACGCAGCUGAUGGACAUGCUUGAAAAACUGCCAAAACUCAACAGGCGACUUUCUCAUCCUGGCCACUUCUGGAAAUCUGCAGAGUUGUCAUUCUGAAAAAAAAAGAGACCGCAGCAAGUAACCAAAAAGAUGUUUUUAGAUGAGCAGCCAUUUUCCAGUGAUUGGAUACCAAAAAUGAAGUUUCCGUGUUUCAAAACUGCUGUUUAUUGCACAAGUUACGGGGUGUUACCAAACAUUGACAACCUCUAUAUUUGCCUGGGCUAAGAUACUCCAGUAAUAUGACUGCUGUAGGAAUUUUGGAUGAUCCAGCUUUGUUGAACAGUUGUAGCUGCUGGUGCAAUAUCUGGGUCUGCCUUGCAUGCAUCCAAAAUUUCUCCCCUGUGAUGCAACAACUUUGGCAAUCAUUUCCAUCGUUAGAUCUUCAAAUUUAACCCUUGGAGACAAUGCAACAGUAAAUGCCUAACCCUCCCAAGCUUCUUUGCCUUUCUGAUUUUCUUUCUCUGGGCUAAUGGCUUCAAAGAUAACAUUGUUUGCAGAAAACCACUCUUCAUACUAACAGAAUGAGUCUGGUUACUUGGAAAUACAUCAGACAAAAUACCUGUAACUGAAACAAAAGCAGAAUUACCUGGAAAAGCUCAGCAGGUCUUUAUUGUUCUUAUCUUGGUUUUUACCUGUAACUGAACUGGGUGUGGUUUUACUACUGACUACGCUUAAUGCUACACACCUGCUGAAGAAACAAACAAAACAUUUGCACUGUGUGUGAUUUAUUACUUCUUUCAAAGUCUUUAUUUGACCAUUAGUUCCAGCCCAUAUUUUAAUUUUAAACUUGGUUACACAGUUGCUGUUUCUAGAUAAGAAUGCAGUUAACAUGUUUAUGUGCAGUCGUUUGUCCUGCUGGGAUGGAUUUGGAAAAAUAAGUUAACCUGUUUUAUUUCUCCUGUUUCCCUUUCAGCGUUAGUAGUAGCAAAGGUCUUGCAAGGUUCGAAAGACUUGACCUGGGAAUUCUGGAACAGCAAAGCAAUCAAAAGCUUUAAUGGGGUUGCUCAUUUUAUUUUCAUGAGCUGUGUUGCAGUGAUAACUUGAUAACGCUAUGUUCCUCAAAAUAUUUCCAAAAUGCUUCAUGGUUCACUACAUUUUUGUGCAACAGUUGAGCUGGCUAGAGAACGAGAAAAGAAUGGGGCUGUUGGGUAUUGGGAGAUAGCAGACAAUUCUUCGUAGCCUAUGUAUAAAAUUGUUCAUUAAAUAGUACAUGUUUUAAUAUAAAUGUUAAAAGAAUUGUCUCAAACAUGCCUUUUAAUUGCUGGAAGUUUUACAACUUCAAUUCAUCAGAACUUAAUGCAUCAUAAAAAUUCUGUUAUUCCACAAACAAGUAAUCAAGUCAAAGAUCAAAAACUUGGUUAAGCUAUUUAUCUAAAACUGUUUCUUAUUAAUUGGAGAUUCUUGCUUGUGGGAUUGUUAUCAAUGUGCUGCUGCUGAUGAAAAAUCUGAAAGGCAAGUUAUGAACAUCUUGGUUGCAAAUCUCUACAAUCAGGGCCAAGUUCUAUAUCCUGUAAAUUUGUAGGUACUGUGGGCACCAAAUUAAAAUGGGAACAGGAAAGGUGGGGGAAACUCUUCAUCAAGUUCACAAUUUGAGCAUAAAGCAGAAAGUGCUUUAAACAAAACAAUAAAUAACAAAAAUUUAGCAGAACACCAAUUAAAAUUCAUGCACAUGGAAUCAAAAUUAAGAUGAAAGAGCCAUUAAAUAACAGGUAACUCAAAAUCACAGAAUUAUUACAGCACAGAAGGGGAGACCAUUCUGCCCCUUGUCUGCAUGACUCUCUGAGCACUUCACCUAGUGCCAUCCCCCUGCCUUCUCCCAAAUUCCUGCAUAUCCUUCCUUUCCAGGGAAGAGUCCAAUUCCCUUUUGAAUGCCUCAAUUGAAUCUGCUUCCACCACAUUUUCAGUGGAUUCUAGAUCUUAACCACUUGCUGCAUGAAAAAGUUUCUCCUCCUGUCUCCAUGUUUCUUUUGCCAAUUACCUUAAAUCUGUGCCCUCUCAUUCUUGAGCCUUUCACCAGGGGAACAAUUUUUCCCUAUCUACUCUGUCCAAAUCACUCAUGAUUUUGAAUACCUCUAUGAAAUCUCCUCUCAACCUCUCUUUCUCAAGGAAAACAGUUCCAGCCUCUCCAGUCUAUCUAUGUAACUGAAGUUCCUCAUCCAUUCUUGUGAAUCUUUUCUGCAUCCUGCCCUGCCCAGAGCCAGGUGCAAUAGUCCAUUUGAGGCCGAAUCAAUUUUAUGCAAGCUUAAGAUAACUUCCUUGCUCUUAUAUUCCAUGUCCCUAUUCAUAAAGCCGUAUUGCAUGCUUUGUUAACCACUCUCUCAACCUGUCCUUCAAUGACUUAUGCAAUGACACAAUGACAUAUACAGCCAGAUCCCUCUGCUCCUGCACCCCCUUUAGAAUCGUACCCAUUUUUUUGUGUCUAUAUCCUU